CCUACGGGAGGCAGCAGUGAGGAAUAUUGCACAAUGGGGGAAACCCUUAUGCAGCGACGCCGCGUGAGUGAAGAAGUAAUUCGUUACGUAAAGCUCUAUCAGCAUGGAAGAAAAUGACGCUACCUGAGUAAGAAGCCCCUGCUAACUACGUGCCAGCAGACGCGUUAAUACGUAGGGUGCAAGCGUUAUCCGGAUGUACUGGGUGUAAAGGGAGCGUAGACGGUGCGCCAAGUCUGGAGUGAAAUGCCGAAUCUUAACUGCGGAACUGCUUUGGAAGCUGGCGAAAUAGCGUGCGGGAGGGGUAAGCGGAAUGCCUAGUGUAGCGGUGAAAUGCGUAGAUAGUAGGAGGAACACCGGUGGCGAAGGCGGCUUAAUG
RNAcentral lists this ribosomal RNA (376 nucleotides) under uncultured bacterium. Its description in RNAcentral is "partial 16S ribosomal RNA". It matches the Rfam family "Bacterial small subunit ribosomal RNA", at positions 338 to 731 of the family's 1533-position model. The record is from RNAcentral.